CAGUAGCCGCGGUAAUACGAGGGGUGCAAGCGUUAUUCGGAUUGAUUGGGUGUAAAGGGUGUGCAGACGGCUUAUUAAGUCACUUGUUAAAUUCUUCGGCCUAACUGAAGGUCUGCAAGUGAUACUGAUGAGCUAGAGGGUGGAAGAGAGAAGUGGAAUCCUCGGAGUAGCGGUAAAAUGCGUAGAUCUCGAGAGGAACACCAAUGGCGAAGGCAGCUUCUUGGUCCAUUCCUGACGUUCAUACACGAAAGCGUGGGGAGCAAACAGGAUUAGAUACCCCCGUAGUCCCUGUCUCUUAUAA
Molecule: ribosomal RNA, 301 nt
Filed under: uncultured bacterium
Lineage: Bacteria
Description: partial 16S ribosomal RNA
Rfam family: Bacterial small subunit ribosomal RNA
Source: RNAcentral